CCUUGAUGUGUAGGAUAGGUGGGAGGCUUUGAAGUGUGGACGCCAGUCUGCAUGGAGCCGACCUUGAAAUACCACCCUUUAAUGUUUGAUGUUCUAACGUUGGCCCGUAAUCCGGGUUGCGGACAGUGUCUGGUGGGUAGUUUGACUGGGGCGGUCUCCUCCUAAAGAGUAACGGAGGAGCACGAAGGUUGGCUAAUCCUGGUCGGACAUCAGGAGGUUAGUGCAAUGGCAUAAGCCAGCUUGACUGCGAGCGUGACGGCGCGAGCAGGUGCGAAAGCAGGUCAUAGUGAUCCGGUGGUUCUGAAUGGAAGGGCCAUCGCUCAACGGAUAAAAGGUACUCCGGGGAUAACAGGCUGAUACCGCCCAAGAGUUCAUAUCGACGGCGGUGUUUGGCACCUCGAUGUCGGCUCAUCAC
RNAcentral lists this ribosomal RNA (415 nucleotides) under Escherichia coli. RNAcentral describes it as "partial 23S ribosomal RNA". It matches the Rfam family "Bacterial large subunit ribosomal RNA", at positions 2129 to 2543 of the family's 2925-position model. The record is from RNAcentral. Lineage: Bacteria; Pseudomonadati; Pseudomonadota; Gammaproteobacteria; Enterobacterales; Enterobacteriaceae.